Molecule: long non-coding RNA, 1484 nt
Filed under: Mus musculus (house mouse)
Lineage: Eukaryota; Metazoa; Chordata; Mammalia; Rodentia; Muridae
Description: Rho GTPase activating protein 20, opposite strand (Arhgap20os)
Source: RNAcentral
CUCUUGAGUUUGUGCGGUUUGAGCAUGCGGCAAGGACGCUCCCCCGUGCCCGUGCCCGUGCCCGUGCCCGUGCCCGUGCCCCACUUGGAUUUCUAGACUCUGCUGCUGUAAAUCACCAUACAGUCUACUCAGCUGUCGCAGCGUACACGGAGCAGGUACAAGUCGUGGCGACUUGCUGUCGCUAGAAUAAAAGUCACCUCGAAGCCCGGUGCUUCUCUACCACAGAAGCUGUGAUAACGUAUUAAGGACGUUUCUAAGAAUGUGACGAAGAGAUGAUGUUAGAAAUUUCUGUGGCAGAAGGCCCAGCCAUCCCCGCUCUCUCCGUUUAGAACAGAGUGCACGAGUAGUUACAGAAAUAAAUGGAAUGGAUUUUACAUCUGGAGCUAAAGGCUGGGGUCCACGUUGGUUAAGCCUUCCCUACCUUCAACACAGAUGCUAUCACAAAGAUGGAUUCACAGUCAAGGUGGACUUCGAUUCCAGAAUUCAGUUUCUCCUUUAGCUCUCUGCAAGAUUUCAUGUUGGCCGACUGCCUGAAGAUGCCUUUUGUGAGGGGGCCUUUUUGGUUAAGGAAGGAAAGCAUAUCCUGCAAGGAAGCGGAGGAAAUACACUAAAGUGGGUGCUUUACACACGCCAGCACAGGAGCAGGUGCUGGCCUUCUGAGGCACUCAGAAGGCCGGGGUGUAUACACCGAAGGACUGGAGCUGGACGGAUGGCUAGAAGGAUUCAAAUGGCAUUUUUUUUUUAAACCUACAACAGAUUUUCUUUAUUGGACAGUUGAUGACAUAAUAUUGUUCUCCCACUAAAAUCAUGUCUCAACCCCCACCCCACCCCCACCGAAUACAUAUACACCAAAACAGAGACACAUGCGCACUGGCUUGCAAGGGAAUCGGGCUCUGGAUCCGACUUCACUUCUUAUUAGCCUGAGCAGUACCAAUGACACACUGGUUCACCUUGGAAGCAAAGCGUAGUGAACUCAGACUCGGAGACAUUCUCUUCCAGAGGAGAACUAUUCACAAACAUGAGCCUUGGCACUGCCACCCAGAGGGUUCUGCAGCAGGUAGGCAAACUUGCUGUUUCGGUAAGGCACGUCAAAUGACAUUUUUAGAACAUAGAGUUGUUAUCAUCGGAGGCCAUGGAGCUAGGACCUGGUCUAAGAAAAUGUACGAUCACAACAUUUAUUGUAUAACCUGCUGAGUAUAGUUAAUAGGCAUGCAAUCUUAAAAACUUCAGAGAAUAGAGUUUAAGCGUUCUCCAAAUUUGCUUUCUAUCUGCGUGUCUUCUGCAUCCAGUAUAGAAGACAAUGGUGUGUGGAGACAAGCAAUCCAUAAGAUCUGGAAGCCGAUUUCCUGUGCAAUCUGAGUUAGGGUCCGUGUUUUACUUUUAAAUUCAUAAAGUAAGGGUGAUGAUAAGUACCUGUAAACUUUACUCUGGAGGAUGAACAAGAUAAUAAAGCGUCUGCCACAGUGCCUGGCAUUUAUGGAUGU